This 108-nucleotide ribosomal RNA is filed under the name uncultured bacterium. Its description in RNAcentral is "partial 16S ribosomal RNA". It matches the Rfam family "Bacterial small subunit ribosomal RNA", at positions 386 to 508 of the family's 1533-position model. The record is from RNAcentral.
ACGGAGCGACGCCGCGUGUGGGAAGAAGGCCUUCGGGUCGUAAACCACUGUCGAAGGGGAAGAUAUUGACGGUACCCUUCGGAGGAAGCCCCGGCUAAACUACCGUGC